RNAcentral lists this ribosomal RNA (29 nucleotides) under uncultured Cenococcum. Its description in RNAcentral is "partial 28S ribosomal RNA". The record is from RNAcentral. Lineage: Eukaryota; Fungi; Ascomycota; Dothideomycetes; Gloniales; Gloniaceae.
UGACCUCGAUCAGGCAGGUUCCCACCCCC